GCAGUAGCCACGGUAAUACGUAGGGUGCAAGCGUUAAUCGGAAUUACUGGGCGUAAAGCGUGCGCAGGCGGUUAUAUAAGACAGAUGUGAAAUCCCCGGGCUCAACCUGGGAACUGCAUUUGUGACUGUAUAGCUAGAGUACGGCAGAGGGGGAUGGAAUUCCGCGUGUAGCAGUGAAAUGCGUAGAUAUGCGGAGGAACACCGAUGGCGAAGGCAAUCCCCUGGGCCUGUACUGACGCUCAUGCACGAAAGCGUGGGGAGCAAACAGGAUUAGAUACCCCCGUAGUCCUGUCUCUUAUACA
This 302-nucleotide ribosomal RNA is filed under the name uncultured bacterium. RNAcentral describes it as "partial 16S ribosomal RNA". It matches the Rfam family "Bacterial small subunit ribosomal RNA", at positions 508 to 809 of the family's 1533-position model. The record is from RNAcentral.